Non-coding RNA from Doryrhamphus excisus (bluestripe pipefish), 650 nucleotides. NCBI's taxonomy places the organism in Eukaryota, Metazoa, Chordata, Actinopteri, Syngnathiformes, Syngnathidae. The record is from RefSeq and is a predicted model, not a curated record.
AGCACCAUUUGUGGCUUGGGAGUACAAUUAAUCUUUGCUCAGCUGCUUUCUGCUCAGCUCAUCAAAUCAGUCACCAGCUGUGGCGCUCGCUGCACUAAAGCUUUGCACUAACCACUGUCAACACUUGCAUCCUUUCUUGGAGCAGACACCAUAGUCUGCUAACUCCAUUUCCUCUGUGGAGGAACUUGAGAUGUUCUAUGGUAGGACUCACCUCACGUAUCGAGCAAAUUGCCUCCUGCAUCAUGCAACUGGAUGGCUGUACAAGAUUCUGCAAAACAAACUAACCUCAAGCUCAACCAGUGCUGCAGCCACUGCUUCAACUGCAAGUGCCCCUGCUUUGAGUUGGUCCACAGCCUGGAAAUUAUAGAUGAUCUUAGGAACAGAUGGGCCAGAACCAGUAGAGCAAGCAGAACAGAUGACAGACGGUGGUCCCUGGAACCAUGCUCCCAUAUGACACCCUGUAGUCUUAUCUGGUCUACCUAGUGAUAUGCAAUGGUUUGCAUUACAUAAAGUAUCAUACAUCUUUAAUUUUCAUUAUUUUUGGUACUGAUGUCCAUUUUGAUAAGCUCAUGUCAGUGCCAAUUGGAUUAUAAAAAAUGUGUGACAUAUCCAAGACCAGACAUAUCCACUGAUUAUGCAACAAUAGCAAA